This 253-nucleotide ribosomal RNA is filed under the name uncultured bacterium. Its description in RNAcentral is "partial 16S ribosomal RNA". It matches the Rfam family "Bacterial small subunit ribosomal RNA", at positions 524 to 776 of the family's 1533-position model. The record is from RNAcentral.
UACGUAGGGUGCAAGCGUUAAUCGGAAUUACUGGGCGUAAAGCGUGCGCAGGCGGUGAUGUAAGACAGGUGUGAAAUCCCCGGGCUUAACCUGGGAACUGCAUUUGUGACUGCAUCGCUGGAGUGCGGCAGAGGGGGAUGGAAUUCCGCGUGUAGCAGUGAAAUGCGUAGCUAUGCGGAGGAACACCGAUGGCGAAGGCAAUCCCCUGGGCCUGCACUGACGCUCAUGCACGAAAGCGUGGGGAGCAAACAGG